Molecule: ribosomal RNA, 447 nt
Filed under: uncultured bacterium
Lineage: Bacteria
Description: SSU rRNA
Rfam family: Bacterial small subunit ribosomal RNA
Source: RNAcentral
AGAGCGAACGCUGGCGGCAGGCUUAACACAUGCAAGUCGAGCGGGCGUAGCAAUACGUCAGCGGCAGACGGGUGAGUAACGCGUGGGAACGUACCUUUUGGUUCGGAACAACCCAGGGAAACUUGGGCUAAUACCGGAUAAGCCCUUACGGGGAAAGAUUUAUCGCCGAAAGAUCGGCCCGCGUCUGAUUAGCUAGUUGGUGAGGUAAUGGCUCACCAAGGCGACGAUCAGUAGCUGGUCUGAGAGGAUGAUCAGCCACAUUGGGACUGAGACACGGCCCAAACUCCUACGGGAGGCAGCAGUGGGGAAUAUUGGACAAUGGGCGCAAGCCUGAUCCAGCCAUGCCGCGUGAGUGAUGAAGGCCCUAGGGUUGUAAAGCUCUUUUGUGCGGGAAGAUAAUGACGGUACCGCAAGAUAAGCCCCGGCUAACUUCGUGCCAGCAGCCGC